Ciona intestinalis (vase tunicate) is the source of this 732-nucleotide non-coding RNA. Lineage: Eukaryota; Metazoa; Chordata; Ascidiacea; Phlebobranchia; Cionidae. The record is from RefSeq and is a predicted model, not a curated record.
AAUGUUAUGUCUAUGCUAUAGAUCGCCACGCACACGCCACCGAUGCAGAGAAAGCAGCGACCGAACACGAGUUUAAAGAAGUCGGUGAAGCUUAUGCUGUUCUUAGUGACCAGAAAAAGAGAGGGAGGUUUGAUCGCGGUGAAGACUUAGACGGGCCUUCCAUGCAAGACUUCGACCCAAAUAAUAUCUUCCAGAUGUUCUUUGGUGGUGGAGGCAUGGGAGGUGGCAUGGGAGGGGGCAUGGGAGGGGGCAGGGAGGAGGAAUGGGAGGGGGCAAUCCAUUUGGGGGUGGCGGCCACAACGAAGGGUUUCCUGGCGGGUUUUCAUUUCAAUUUGGUUGAAAUAUUUUUCUAUUCACUCAUUUUCACUCUUUCUAUCAAAGCUCCUCUCCAAAGCUUGAGACAAGAUGACCAGAGGUUUAUUCCUAAUUAUUUAUUCUCAAUGUCCUUAAACCAUCUCUUAGCAGUAGAUACAAAUAUUCAAAGCUUUUAAAGCACAUUUCUUCGUGCCUGUUUUGUUAAACCAUUUGAAUCUUAACAAAUUUGGUCAUUUUGUUAUUGUUUUUGAAACCCAAUUCUGAUAAUUUACAAUUAAAUUAUUUUGCCUUUUUCUUUAGCAUGUUUUUGCUUGAAAAUAUGUGGACCUCUAGGUAUAUGCAAUGUUUCUUUUACCCUGAUAGCAUUGUAUAAUCAAAAGUAGUUAAAAUUUGAAAAUAAACUUUUCUUUUUGAGCA